GUGUGGGUACGGUCCAGUGAGCGUGUGGGUACGGUCCAGUGAGCGUGUGGGUACCGGUCCAGUGAGCGUGUGGGUACGGUCCAGUGAGCGUGUGGGUACGGUCCAGUGAGCGUGUGGGUACCGGUCCAGUGAGCGUGUGGGUACCGGUCCAGUGAGCGUGUGGGUACCGGUCCAGUGAGCGUGUGGGUACCGCCCCAGUGAGCGUGUGGGUACCGGUCCAGUGAGCGUGUGGGUACCGGUCCAGUGAGCGUGUGGGUACCGUCCAAUGAGCGUGUGGGUACGGUCCAGUGAGCGUAGAGUAUUUGUCCUGUUUGCCUAGUCACUUUUACCCCAACCUACAUGUACAUAUUACCUCAACUACCUCGUACCCCUGCACAUUGACUCUGCCGUUACUCCUCGUACAUAGCCUCAUUAUUACGUUACUAUUUACAAAAAUGUUUGGUACUUUUUUUUAAAGUGUGCAUUGUUGGGAAAGGGCACAUAAGUUGGCAUUUCACGAUAAUGUCUACACUUUCGUCAGAUGUAACCAAUACAUUUGAUUUGAUUGGCUCAACUCCGGGAGGCCAGCCCCAGUAGAGCCAAUCAAACACUAACCUGCUUCACCUAAGGCAGGCCCGGGGCGUUUCAUUCGCUCACUGUUAAAUCCAUGACAGGAAGUGUGACAGUGCACACUUAAGAGAGCAGGGUGGAGAACUGGGAUGCAACCAUGAGCUAUCUAACAGGCUACAAACCACUUCCUGUCCUUUAAGUAAGGAAACAGUGGUUGGAG
This is a long non-coding RNA of Oncorhynchus keta (chum salmon), 769 nucleotides long. RefSeq lists it as uncharacterized. Lineage: Eukaryota; Metazoa; Chordata; Actinopteri; Salmoniformes; Salmonidae. The record is from RefSeq and is a predicted model, not a curated record. The transcript is spliced from 3 exons.